UGCUGGUUCGCUACCACCCUGAAUGCGCUUGAUCUCUUCUGAUCUCAGAAUCUAAGCAGAGUCGGGCCUGGUUAGUACUUGGGUGGGAGGAAACCAUUAUUUCAAGUUAUAAAAUACAAGUAUAUUAGAAG
Myotis lucifugus (little brown bat) is the source of this 131-nucleotide ribosomal RNA. The record is from Ensembl. NCBI's taxonomy places the organism in Eukaryota, Metazoa, Chordata, Mammalia, Chiroptera, Vespertilionidae.